RNAcentral lists this ribosomal RNA (379 nucleotides) under uncultured cyanobacterium. RNAcentral describes it as "bacterial SSU rRNA". It matches the Rfam family "Bacterial small subunit ribosomal RNA", at positions 376 to 770 of the family's 1533-position model. The record is from RNAcentral. Lineage: Bacteria; Bacillati; Cyanobacteriota.
CGAAAGCCUGACGGAGCAACGCCGCGUGAGGGAUGAAGGCCUCUGGGCUGUAAACCUCUUUUCUCAAGGAAGAAGAUCUGACGGUACUUGAGGAAUAAGCCACGGCUAAUUCCGUGCCAGCAGCCGCGGUAAUACGGGAGUGGCAAGCGUUAUCCGGAAUUAUUGGGCGUAAAGCGUCCGCAGGCGGUCUUUUAAGUCUGUCGUCAAAGCGUGGAGCUUAACUCCAUUACUGCGAUGGAAACUGGGAGACUAGAGUGUGGUAGGGGCAGAGGGAAUUCCCGGUGUAGCGGUGAAAUGCGUAGAUAUCGGGAAGAACACCAGUGGCGAAGGCGCUCUGCUGGGCCAUAACUAACGCUUAUGGACGAAAGCCAGGGGAGCG